ACAAACAAACAAAAAACCCCAGGACACUCUGUUGUCUUGUCACUGUCCCUCACAUGUUCUGUGACCCCAGACAAACCACUUCCCUUAUCUGAGCCUCAGUUUCCCCAUCUGCAGCCCAGCACAGUCCCAGCACAGAACACAUGUUCAAUAAAUGAAUCAUGGAGAUCUCUAGUUAACCUGUAGGACUCCAGCCAGCUCGAGAGAUCUAUUAAUACAAUUCUACCCACGAUUCUGCUCUUUCGAAAGUGCAGCUUUCUUAGUUGAGUUCUUCCAGAUGCAGACUUUGAGAUGAGGCUUCAUCUGCAAGCAAUUUAUUAAGGAGUGCUUCCUGAAGACCAGCAGGGAAAAGAAGCUACAGUGUGGUGUCAAGCAAGACCCAGCCUCAGCCUGAUCAAACCAGGUGCUCUGGAGAAUGCAUUAUGACUUUGUGCUAUGGAGAAUGCAUUAUGACUUCGUACCUCAAUGCAAGACAGCUGGGCUCUCACAGUUCUGGGCCCACCAGUCACUGGCUAUGGGGCCACCUGGGAGGGGUGUGUGAAUUCCCAGGCACUUGCAUCUCUGCAGGAGUGCAAGGGCGGGCCCCUGAAGUAGGUUUAAGUGAUCGCUCUUGGAGGUGAAGCAUAACGAAGCUGGGGGAGCAACAAGAAAUACCUUCAUCUUUUUAGAGAAGAGUGAAAUUGAAGCCAGAGAGGUUGGUUAACUUGCCCAAGAUCACAAAGCUUCCAAGAUGAAGAGCUGGGAUUUCAUUUCAGGUUUCCCAUCUGGCAACAUCCAAGCCCUUUCCAUAAUUCCACACUGUGAAUUUGCUUCCCAAACCAAGAGUGGGAUACAAUUAGCUGGGGAGUGCAACUCAUCCCUCAAUCACUGAUCUGAGUAUGGAUAUCAAAAGAAACAUUUCCUGAAGCAAGACGCUGAGCUGGAAGCUUCCACGGUUGUGCCUAUACUGUGGCAGUCCUGCGCGAACCUGUCCGGCCCCAUGGAAACCUGCAGGGCUGAGGUCUCCCAGGGCAAAUGGGGCUGCAGGAUGCUCACUACACCCCCAGAAACAGGAGAAGGGACAAGGACACAGGACUGUCUGGUUCUGAGAGGCCUGGCCUCUGCUUCCUCCGCCCAUCCAAUAAGUACCACCUGUCUGUUGAGGGGCUCAGUGGCUUCAAGGUUUCAACCCUGGCUACAUCAUGGAACCAUCUGGGGAGCUUUCCAAGUACUGAUGCCUGAACCUUAGUCACAGAUUAAUGGAAACCUGAGGAAUGGGGACCCAUGACCUGGAGUCUGUAAGGCUUCCCCAUUGAUGUGAUGCUUGGUGAAAUCUGUUUGGGUGAGUACAUUCAGUGGCCACUUGCCAUGACUUUUCCUGUCUCUAUAGCUACAUCUGGGUCCCUGGAUCCCUGCAACUAGAUUUAAGCUGGAGGAAGAAGUUUCCAUUUUGGCCUUGAGCCUAAGCCUAGUUUUUCAAACCUGCUUUUGGCAGAACAGUGCAAUGAGGCAUGAGAGUUUUGCCAAUAUACUAAUAAAGCCGUGCUCUCCCUCCCAUCUGCCGCACGAUCCCUGUGGGCCUGCUCUACUGUCCUGGACCUGGAGGAGAAGGGGAGCAUGUGGGAGCAACUGGGAGCCACGACUCCCUGGCAAACAACAUUGGGGACUUUCAACACCAUUUUAAAAAUAGAGUCACUUAUUUCAGUAUAUCUCGGCCAGUUCAGCAAAUGACUUUAGGUGGCUUACACUGUAAAUAUAGAAAACAAAAUGAGGAUAAAAAUAAGAAUAGAGAUUUUGGACCAAGGAAUUAUAAUGUCAAGUAGAGAGCAAGGCAAUUAAAAAAAAAAAAAAAGAGCAGAAGAGUGCAGAUCAAAAACAAAGCAGGCAGUGUAUAUACUGAGAUACUUCAACCUGUUAAGAGUAAUUGGGCAUUGCUUGAUUCAAUAACACACAUUUUGAGUGUAAGAACUAGACGUUAUUCCCAUUUGACAGAUGAUGAAACUGAGACUUAACAGAUUGUCUGAGGCCUGGCAGCUAGUGACCCCAGAGUCACAUUCAGGCUGCCUGUGGUGGGGCCUUUGUUCCUACAGCACCUCAUGACCUCGCUAAAGUGGUUUAGCCCUGAGCUUCCAUUCAACCAGAGGGAAGAAGACUGACACAGCCAGACACAAACAUAUUCAUUAUCAGAAAGUAUGAAGCAUUCUAGUUCCCCAGGAAAAGCAGUAUUUCCCUCAAUCACUCAAUUCAAAAAUGGCAUUCCUCAGGUGGGAGUGGGGAAGGCUUCACAGACGAGCAGAGGGCAGGGUUUUGUGGCGUAAGUGGGGGUUCACCAGGUGGGCGGGGGUGGGAGAACAUUUAGGAAAAUGUACAGCACAUUUAAAGACCUGGACAAUUAUAAGAAACCAUCUGGUGUUGGAGGCUACAAAAAGGCCAGAGUUUAUGAAGCACAAAGUGAGGUUAACUAACUUAAUAACAUUUUAAACCUUAGUCAAAUUAGAAAACCAAAGAGAAGUGAAAAGAAAAUUUAAUUUAAAGACAUAGAAUACAAUCUUAUCAAGGUGGGCUUCACUAAUGUGGAACAUGCAGUGAUUCAGAGAUGCAAAAAAAAAAAAACAGCAUUCACAAAGCUGAUUUAUAAUGUAAGCAAGAUUGAAGGCAACAGUUCAAAGCCACAUAAGGCACCAAUAGGUUUUCAAAUAUUCAGGAAUUCAUGGUCACAUAGCAACAAAGAUAUGCUAAUGACAAGCACUUAACAUAUUCAUUACAAUAGGUCCCUGUGGUCCUGCAGUACCACUCCUGGCUACACCUUAUUAGUCCUUCUACUUUCUGCACAAUGUUGAUGCACAAGCCUGCCUUGCUUGGCUUGCUUCUGUACAAACAACCACCGUGCAUGUUCAAUUAAAGUAAUACUCAUUUUAUGUGUACCUUUAGCUGGAAUUGUGGCUGAGAAGGGCAGCCUCGGUCACCAAUCUGCUUUAUAAUGUCCUGUAAAGGAUCUCUGUAAUGCCUAGGACUCCCCGAGAUUAACCUCCACAUGCAAAACCUGGGAAUGAGUUGUGCUUCAUCAGAAAUCUCAUUACCUUCAGUACAGACCUGAAGGGUGUGGACAAAAUGGAAAUUGUCAGAGUGGCUUAGGCUGAUGUUUCCUUUCACUGCACCUCAUACAAAAGUACAUAAUUAGGAAGGAAAGACAGGAUCAGCCACCUCUGUAUAAACACUGUGCGCAGCAGGGAUUUUAAGUCAGCCUGACACAAAGAACUGCCAUUGUGACUGCCACACAACCAGUGCCACCGAAAUGUGACAUGAGGACACAAUGUUUGGAUGCAGUAGAGCAUGAAGGCCAAGCUCCCAGACCUUUGUGCAAGUCUAGCCGUCUGCCAGGUGCCGCCUUCCUCCUUUAUCUGCCUCUUGAAAUCCUGCCUAAAGAGGGAGUGUGGCAUCACCACCCCAUGGAUCACCAGGAUUCCAUGUGGGCCGUGGGCCUAAAUAUGCUGCAGAGAGAGUGAGAGGGGUCCAUUUCUACCCUUCUCUCCUACCAGACAGACCAACUCCCCCAGAUGGCGAAGCAUAGCAGCUUUCUCCCCUUGUCCUUCAGUACCCAACUCGAACAUUCAUGCAGAAAGCAUUGGUUGAACAAAUGACCAUUAAUCCUCUGAAAAAAAUUAUUAGUAUUAUUGGGAAUCAAAGGCACACGUAUUAAAACAAGUAUAAGCUACCACCUUCCCACCACCAUGCCCCAUCAGAUUACAAAUUAGUUGGUGAAAAGGCGGUCAAAGAGGCAUUUCCACAGGUGGCGUGUCAAGUGGUAUAAAUUCUGAAAUGCAAUUUCACAGUAUGUUUCAAAAGUUUUUUGAUAGAGUGUUGGCUGACAUCUAGACAUUUAUAUUCUAUGCAGAUAAUCAGGGAUGCAGACAAAGUUUGCUCAUCAUAAUAAUAGCUAACUUUGAGAAGUAUCCAUUGUUAGGCAACAUGCCCUCACUUUAUAUAGAUUUUGUGAAGUUCCUACUCUGAUGAAAUAAGAACAGUUCAUCAUAGGGGGUAGUUUCUAUGGCAUGAGAUAGCACAUUUCAAGCAUUUUGAAGAAAAACUAACAUGCAGAAAAAAAAAUGCAGUGAAUUCUAAAUAUUUUCAUUAUUAUCAUUAUUAUUUGCUGGAAAAAAAAACAACAGAAAACAUGUUUUACCAUGAAACAUAAAUGGGGCUUAUUCCAGGCAGGAUGGCUCACUAUUGAUAAAUUGAAUAAUGUCAUUAACCAUAAUUGAAGAGCAAGGAACCUAAACAUCUGAGCAUUUUUAUAAUUUUUCAAAAAGCUUCUGAUAAAAUUCAAAAUCACUUCCAAAGAUAAAAAUCUCUUAAGAAAACAUGAAUAAAAGGAUAGCAUCCAAAGAUUAUCAAUGUACCAAACAAGGGAACUAGUUAAGAGGUAUAACUGUUGCAAAAGCAGACUAUGUUCAACUAUUCAUUCAAUUAUUCAUGCCUUCUACCAAUAUUUCUUGAAUGAAUUCUUUGUGAUGAAAUCUGGCAGCCCAGAAAUAGUGCAUUCAUUUUAGUGGAGAUAAAUAAGGAACUAAGCAAAUAAAUGAAAAAGAUAAUUCCCAAUGGUGACAUAUGCUCUGAAAAAAACUGAUACAGAGUGAUGAGGAACAGACUGAAGGACUGGGUGGUCGUAAGAGGUGCCCACUGCACAUGCUCCCUGACUCUUGCUGCAGCAGCUAAAGGAACUCCAAUCAAGUUCAGCUUGAAAACCAUCAGUCAACCAAGUCAUGCUCUGCAGCAAAGUGAUUCCAAGAGGAUGACAAGUUAGCACAGAGUCACCCAGACAUGAGUGAUCUACAGAGCUGGGCACCUCCUACCAGCUCCACAUCAAACCCCACCCUGAACACUUCCCACAGAGUGAUGAUGUGCCAAGGUGAGCUCUUUGCUAGCCACAGUCUCCAUCACUCCCUAUUGUCCCUCCCUAUUGUCCUUCUUCAUUCAUUUGUCACCUGCCUUCCCCUGCAGACAUCUGAGUUUCUGAGUCCCAAUUUGGUACAGCUCUUGGGCCCAAAGACCUGAAGGUGAAGACCAUUUCUAAAGCCCACCUGCUUGGAAGAAACCAACUGAGGUCCUGGCAGGCUGGAUACCUGAUGCUUCUAGAGAUUUGAAAGGAGAGGACGGGGCAUCAUAUCUGCCAUGGCACCCACCCUGACUGCACCACAGAUGGUCAUGACCAACAGCAAUGCUGCAGCUGUCUAGGGCCGUGGAGUGCUGUGCUCACCUAGAUCUGGAUUUAUUCCUGGCUGAAUUUUCAUCCCCUACAUGUGUUCUUCCUUUUGUUUUCUCACUAGUAGUAAUA
RNAcentral lists this long non-coding RNA (5311 nucleotides) under Homo sapiens (human). RNAcentral describes it as "HSALNT0318001". Lineage: Eukaryota; Metazoa; Chordata; Mammalia; Primates; Hominidae. The record is from RNAcentral.